UCCGGUAUGGUCUAGUGGCUUAUGAUGUCUGGCUUUCACCCAGGAGACCCGGGUUCGAUUCCCGGUACCGGAA
Diachasmimorpha longicaudata is the source of this 73-nucleotide non-coding RNA. Lineage: Eukaryota; Metazoa; Arthropoda; Insecta; Hymenoptera; Braconidae. The record is from the annotation of a RefSeq genome assembly.